RNAcentral lists this ribosomal RNA (396 nucleotides) under uncultured bacterium. RNAcentral describes it as "partial 16S ribosomal RNA". It matches the Rfam family "Bacterial small subunit ribosomal RNA", at positions 523 to 918 of the family's 1533-position model. The record is from RNAcentral.
AUACGUAGGUGACAAGCGUUAUCCGGAUUUACUGGGCGUAAAGGGCGUGUAGGCGGUCUUGCAAGUCAGAAGUGAAAUUCCUGAGCUCAACUCGGGCGCUGCUUCUGAAACUGCAGGACUUGAGUGCUGGAGGGGAUAGCGGAAUUCCUAGUGGAGCGGUAAAAUGCGCAGAUAUUAGGAAGAACACCGGUGGCGAAGGCGGCUAUCUGGACAGUAACUGACGCUGAGGCGCGAAAGCGUGGGGAGCAAACAGGAUUAGAUACCCUGGUAGUCCACGCUGUAAACGAUGAAUACUAGGUGUGGGGGGACUGACCCCCUCCGUGCCGCAGUUAACACAAUAAGUAUUCCACCUGGGGAGUUCGAUCGCAAGAUUGAAACUCAAAUGAAUUGACGGGG